This 424-nucleotide ribosomal RNA is filed under the name uncultured bacterium. RNAcentral's name for it is "bacterial SSU rRNA". It matches the Rfam family "Bacterial small subunit ribosomal RNA", at positions 29 to 438 of the family's 1533-position model. The record is from RNAcentral.
AACGAACGCUGGCGGCGUGGAUAAGACAUGCAAGUCGAACGGGAUUACUUCUGUAGCAAUACAGGAGUAGUCUAGUGGCGUAAGGGUGCGUAACACGUGGGUAAUCUGCCGAGAAGUGGGGGAUAGCUCGCCGAAAGGCGAAUUAAUACCGCAUGCGGUUAGUGAGGACAUCCUCGCGAUACCAAAGCCGGGGCAACCUGGCGCUUCUUGAUGAACCCGCGGCCUAUCAGCUAGUUGGUGAGGUAACGGCUCACCAAGGCUAUGACGGGUAGCUGGUCUGAGAGGACGACCAGCCACACUGGGAACUGAGACACGGUCCAGACACCUACGGGUGGCAGCAGUCGAGAAUUUUUCUCAAUGGGGAAAACCCUGAAGGAGCGACGCCGCGUGGAGAUGAAGGUCUUCGGAUUGUAAACUCCUGUCA